CCUACGGGGGCAGCAGUCGAGGAUUUUUCACAAUGGGCGAAAGCCUGAUGGAGCGACGCCGCGUGGGGGAUGAAGAGCUUCGGCUUGUAAACCCCUGUCACUUGGGAACAAACGUUUCGGUCUAACACACCGAGACCUGAUAGUACCAGGAGAGGAAGGCACGGCUAACUCUGUGCCAGCAGCCGCGGUAAUUCAGAGGUGCCAAGCGUUGUUCGGAUUUACUGGGCGUAAAGGGUGCGUAGGCGGUCAUGUAAGUCGGAUGUGAAAUCCCGGAGCCUAACUCCGGAAUGGCAGCCGAAACUGCAUGGCUGGAGAUCUGGAGAGGUGAUUGGAAUUCUCGGGGUAGCAGUGAAAUGCGUAGAUAUCGAGAGGAACACCAGAGGCGAAGGCGGAUCACUGGACAGAUUCUGACGCUGAGGCGCGAAAGCCAGGGGAGCAAACG
RNAcentral lists this ribosomal RNA (442 nucleotides) under uncultured prokaryote. RNAcentral describes it as "bacterial SSU rRNA". It matches the Rfam family "Bacterial small subunit ribosomal RNA", at positions 338 to 774 of the family's 1533-position model. The record is from RNAcentral.